This 797-nucleotide long non-coding RNA is filed under the name Struthio camelus australis. Its description in RNAcentral is "lncRNA (ENSSCUG00000000896.1)". Lineage: Eukaryota; Metazoa; Chordata; Aves; Struthioniformes; Struthionidae. The record is from RNAcentral.
GACCUUUCAAAUACUGUCCCCAGUGCUGGGUUUCCAAGAGUGCUCAGUUUUGACCUGAUUAUGCUCUGCUGAAAUCUGUAAGGUAAAAGCAAUAUUGGCUUCGGCAGAAGUAGUUCGGCUGAUCCUGAGAGCUUCUGGAAAUCUGAAUGCAGGAGCAUCACACUGGGGCAGCAACUGGCCGAGGAAUGGGUCAUAAAGUGCCAGCUUCGUAGCUCAGUAACUACGCUACUGUUGAUGCCCCAUUGAGCAAGAUCCCUCUGUUCCUGCGUGGAGGCUGCAUUCUCCCAAAACAGGCACCAGCCACAAGAACAACUAAGAGCCGUCUGAACCCGUGUGGGCUCGUUGUUGCCCUGGAUGAUCAAGGAGAAGCUUCUGGGUCGCUCUUCUGGGAUGAUGGCGAUUCGAUUGGGAAUCUUGAAGACAGAAAUAGUUAAAAAUGGCUACCGAGGGGCUGACUCUCUGAAAUACAACACAAUUAUGAUCCUUGGACUGAACCGGAGACCUCAUGCUGUUGCUCUGAAUGGAAGGGCUGUGCGUAAAAAUGCUUUCUCUUGUCAGACAAACGGGCAAUUCACUUUACGGCUUUCUGCACCACUUACUCAGGAGCUCAGCACUGCCAUUUACUAGAAUGGUUAGAAAACCCUGACAUAAUUUAGCAGCCUUGGCCCUCAGAUAUUGAUCUCACUGAUGUAAAAAAGUAUCCAGUCAUUAAAACGUUGCCUAUGUGCCUGACCACUGCUCUUCUCCUGUGCUGCAUUUGUAAUUCAAUAUUCUUCAAAUAAAAUUUUCAUUAACAG